This is a non-coding RNA of Cicer arietinum (chickpea), 2693 nucleotides long. The record is from RefSeq and is a predicted model, not a curated record. Lineage: Eukaryota; Viridiplantae; Streptophyta; Magnoliopsida; Fabales; Fabaceae.
GAUUAGAUUAGAGUAGUGACUAGUGAGAUUAAUUCACUUUUGCUUGUUAUUCUGAAACUCAAACUUGCUAAUAACAAUUUACAAUGACACAUUGUUCUCAAAACUUUUCAACAACUCCAGAAUCGUAGUUCCUUUUACUCCAAUUUUAUACCUCAUUCCUUCCAAAAAAUAGAAAGAAAGAAAUAGCUUAAUGCAUGCAUUGAUUUGAUUUGAUUUGUAGCAGAGGAUGAUAGCUACGUCUACGAGGAUCUGAUUAUAUUUGAUUGAUGCGUUGUUCAUCGUUCACUCAUUCAUCAUCUUCAAUUCAACACGAGAAUGUUACCAUUUUGCUCAGCUACACCCUGCUAUUCCCCAUCUUCCCAGAUUCCCUUAUUUGGUGGACUACAAUCUCUGUGUCCAAUUCGAAAGGAUUUUGAGACUAGAUGUGUGGUAGAAGAAAGUGUAUAUCUAGGUUUGCAUUAUGGAACAUCUUCAUUCAGAAAUUCAUUUACAGCACAAGCUACAAAGAGUAUCAUAUCGUGGGGUUAUUCGCCAAUGAAAGCAGAUGGGGAUUAUUUACUUGGUAAUGGAGAAUUUAGAUAUAGUUUAUCGACUGUGCCGGAGGAAUUAGUAGACUUUGCAGGACAGUCAAUUGAAGGAUCUGAUGCAUUAGUAGCACCUGCACAACCGGAGGCUCUAUUUUUUAGUACUGAUGUAACGUCGGGGAAGUUUGAAUCAACGAGUAGUUUGGUUGAAGGGGGUAAUGAAUCGUCUACAAAAGCAAGUGUUGGUGACCUGUUUUCUGGAAUCAAUGAGUCAUUUAAUGUUUCUAUUAGUAAGGGAGAAACUGCUUUACGAAGCUCGCUGGAUACAGCCACUUCUUUCAUCGAUUCCGUUGUUAAAAAUGCUACUACAUCGGCAGAUAAUGCUUUUAGUAAGGCAUUUUCUGCUGUUGAUCAAACGAGUGAAUUGGCGAAUAAGAAAAUUACUAGCUUUUCAAGUGAGGUAAGUGGAGUCACAAAUAAGGCACCUGCUUUGGCUAGUGAUGUGUUGCGCCGCACAAUCGUUGCGGUAGAGAGUUCUUUAUCAACUGGGGCUUCCUAUGUUGUUUACCUUUAUGGAUCAGCCAAGGAGUUCCUUCCUGCAGAGAUUAGGGAUUCAGUCAAUGUGUAUGAAGAUAAAGCAACACAAAUCUUAAGGCCUGUUGGGUCUGCAGCUCAACAGAUUUACACGACUUUCUAUUCGUUGGAGAAGAGUCUUGGCUUGGAUCCAAAUGAUCCAAUUAUUCCAUUUAUUGUUUUUGUGGGCUCUUCAGCAACAUUAUGGGCUGUUUAUUGGUUGUGGACUUAUGGAGGUUACUCAGGAGAUUUAUCCCCUGAAUCAGCUUUCGAGCUCUUGGCCGGGGACUCAAAUGCUGUACUUAUAGAUGUCCGCACUGAGGACUUGCGAGAAAAAGACGGUGUUCCUGAUCUUCGAAGGGCUACUCGGUUUCGCUAUGCAAGUGUAGCUCCAAUUGAGGUUGAUGGCUCCAUACGCAAGUUGUUGAAGGGUGGUAGAGACCUAGAUGACUCAUUGAUUGCUGCUGUUAUUCGAAAUAUGAAAAUUGUUAAGGACAGUUCCAAGGUUAUUGUGUUGGAUGCUGAUGGUACUCGUUCUAAAGGCAUUGCAAGAUCCUUGAAGAAAAUUGGUGUCAAGAAUCCAUAUUUGGUCCAAGGUGGCUUUCAAUCUUGGGUGAAACAAAGUCUCCGUAUCAAGGAACUAAAACCUGAAACAGCACUUACCAUACUCAAUGAGGAAGCUGAAGCAAUUCUAGAAAAUGUUAGACCUUCUCCUGGGCAACUUUUAGGUUAUGGUACGGCACUACUUGCGGGGUCAUAUGCAUUAGCAGCAAAAUCAAUACCGUGUCAGAGUGGGAGACGACAUUACAGUUAAUUGGUGUUUUUGGCCUCAGUUUGACGAUAUAUCUGCGGUUUUCUUCAUAUGAAAAGUCAGAAGAUUUGAAGCAAGAUGUGAAGUUAUUGCUUGCUCCUGUUAAACUUGGAACUCAAGCAUUUUCAUGGGCUGCUGGAAAAUUGGAAUCAAAUGGCAUAGGAUUACCUACAUCACCUUCAUCAUUAGAUGUUCAAAACCGGGUAUUACAAGCUGCUGCAAAACAUGAAUCUCAACCAUCUGAUAUUGAAGGUAACAAAGACUCAAUUUCUGAAUCCACGGCUACUCUCAAUUAAAAUGGAUGAGAUUGUUCCAGAUUGUCAUGUGCUAACAUGGAAAGAAGAACAGAGUUUAGUAUGGUGACACCAAGUUAACUCACAUGAGAUGAAGUUUGCAAGUUGACAUUAACCAACCUUUUCCAAACACUAUGCAGUCAACACAAGGAUGAUUGUAUUUGAUUAUUUUUAAGCCACAAGUUGCAAGAAUGCCACAGGUGCUUAGCACAAUUUCCACCAUCAAAAUAAUAAGUGUAAUUGUUAAAUAAAUUAUUAUUUGCAUGAUGCAAAUUGUACUUAAAAUUUGUGGUGGUGUAACUUGUAGUUUUGUAAACUAUAUCCUUCACCACAUAUGCUUAGGUCUUUUACAAUCCGUUUAGGAUCACACUGCCAACAUCUUGCGUGCAAAUGGAAGUUGUUAAUGGAAAAUGGGUUAGAAAUAGAAUGCUUAAACAAGCACUCAUCACCUUUUCUUCACUGCAAAAUAGAAAUGCAAACUUCUUUUGCCCA